RNAcentral lists this long non-coding RNA (7538 nucleotides) under Triticum aestivum (bread wheat). RNAcentral describes it as "long non-coding RNA (TAES_LNC007754)". Lineage: Eukaryota; Viridiplantae; Streptophyta; Magnoliopsida; Poales; Poaceae. The record is from RNAcentral.
GGGGAUACCCCGGCCUCUGCAUCAGCAUGAUGCAUACGGCCAUCUUAUUAAUAAAAUAAAGUAGUAUCAAACUGUUUCCAAAGGUCCUGAAAGGUGAAAAAAAUCAAAACAAGCUCACACAGAGCCCAGAUAAGCUAGAUACAUCAAACUAGCCACAUCAUAAAGCCACAACCGGCAGGGCAUAUUAGAUAGCAAAACUAAAUGGCUAUCCUAUUACAUGACCGCCAUCCAAACCGGUUGAAGAUAUCCCGAGCUACCAUCUCCCAACGGACAGACCCAGUAACCAAAUGCUCCCUGGCCUCCAUCGGGGUGAGUAGCGACCACGAACGAAUCAAAGCCGUAGUCCGGAAUAAAACCUGCAAAAAAUGUAUACAUGAUAUUCUGUUAAAGAUCAAAUCGUUUCUGCAGUUCCAGAUGGCCCACAACAAAGCACAAACCCCCACCCGAAUACGUUUCCUUAAGUUGGGCUCAAUCCUAUUAAGCCAUGUCCCAAAAAGAGAAUUAAUAGUAGUCGGUGGUUUGAUGUUAAACGCAAUGUGGACCGUCUGCCAUAAAACCUUUGCUAGCGGGCAAUCAAAAAAAAGAUGUUUAAUAGACUCUUCCCGAUCACAGAAACUACACCUAGUAGGUCCUGUCCAAUUGCGCUUCUUCAAGUUAUCCUUAGUUAAAAUAACUUGUUUAUGAACAAACCACAUAAACACUUUUAUUUUCAAAGGAACCUUGACAUCCCAAAUAUAUUUGGACGUAGGAAUGGAGCUUGAAUUAAUAACAUCAAUAUACAUUGAUUUAACCGUGAAGGCUCCAGACUUAGUCAGCUUCCAGCACAAUUCAUCAGGUUGUUGGGACAGCUGAACAUCCAUCAGCUUUCUAACUAGAUGGAGCCAUUGUUCCCAACGAUUGCCCGCUAGCACUCGUCUGAAUUGAAUAUUAAGGGGGAUAGAUUGAAAGACCGAAGCAAUAACCACCUCCUUUCGUUGAACAAUACGAUACAAAGAGGGGUAUUGGGUGGCCAGUGGUGUGUCACCUAGCCAAGUAUCCUCCCAGAAACGCGUACUCAAGCCGUUUCCUACAGCAAACUUUGUCCUAUUAACGAAAACCUGCUUGACCUUCAUGAGCCCCUUCCAGAAAGGCGAGUCAGUAGGCCUUACAGAGACUUGUGUCAAAGUUUUUGACUGGAGAUACUUGCCACGAAGAAUCUGUGCCCACACAGCAUCCGUCUCCGACGAGAGCUUCCACAGCCACUUGCUAAGAAGGCAUUUAUUCUUGAUUUCGAGAUUCUCAAUACCUAGACCCCCUUGGUCUUUCGGUCUACAAAUAAUGUCCCACUUAGCAAGUCUGUAUUUUCUUUUCAGCUCAUCACCCUGCCAGAAGAACCGCGAUCUAUAGAAGUCCAGUCUCUUCCUGACUCCAACUGGUACCUCAAAGAACGAAAGGAGAAACUUCGGCAAACUUGUGAGCACCGAAUUAAUUAGAAUUAACCGGCCUCCAUAAGAUAAAAGCUUGCCCUUCCAGCAACUUAGUUUCUUCUCAAAGCGGUCUUCAAUGAACUUCCAUUCUUUGUUCGUUAGCCUACGGUGGUGGAUAGGAAUCCCUAAGUACGAGAAAGGUAACUGUCCCACCUCACACCCAAACAAUUGUCGGUAGGCUUCCUGCUCAUCUUUGGCCCUACCAAAGCAGAACAACUCACUCUUAUGAAAGUUGAUCUUCAAUCCUGUCAAUUGUUCGAAAAGGCAUAAAACCAGCUUCAUAUUCCUAGCCUUAACCACGUCAUGCUCCAUAAAGAUGAUCGUAUCAUCAGCGUAUUGUAGGAUAGAAAGGCCUCCAUCUACCAGAUGAGGCACUAAUCCACCUACUUGACCAUUUUCCUUAGCCCGUCCUAUCAGAAUUGCCAACAUAUCUACCACAAUGUUAAACAAGAGAGGGGACAUUGGGUCUCCUUGUCGUAGGCCUUUGUGAGUCUGAAAGUAACGACCUAUAUCAUCAUUAACUUUAAUUCCCACACUACCUUUUUGCGUAAAUGAUUGCACCUGCCUUCGCCAGGCUUCAUCAAAACCCUUUCAUUCGGAAAGAUUGUUGGAGAAAUGGCCAUUUUAUCUUAUCAUACGCUUUCUCGAAAUCCACUUUAAAAAUCACUCCAUCCAAUUUUUUAGAGUGGAUUUCAUGGAGCGUUUCAUGCAGAACUACCACCCCUUCUAGAAUGUUUAUGUCUGGCAUGAACGCGGUUUGGGAUUGAUGCACCACAGAAUGCGCAAUCUGUGUGAGCCUGUUGGUCCUGACCUUUGUGAAUAUUUUGAAACUAACAUUUAGGAGACAGAUCGGCCUGAAUUGCUCAAUUCUGACCGCAUCCGUCUUCUUAGGUAGUAAUGUGAUAGUCCCAAAAUUCAGGUGGAAUAAUUGAAGCUUACCAGAGAAAAGAUCAUGAAACAUAGGUAUUAAAUCCCCCUUAAUAAUGUGCCAGCACUUUUUAUAAAACUCGGCCGGGAACCCAUCCGGUCCAGGAGCCUUAUUGUUUUUCAUUUGAGCAAUAGCCUCAAAAACCUCCUUCUCCGAGAACGGAGCAAGCAGAAUGUCAUUAUCAGCAGCCGAAAGCUGAGCCACAUCCUCAGUCAUGGACUCAUCAAGUGACACCGUAUUCUCCUCCGGUGGACCAAAUAGCUGCUUAUAAUAUUCAGUGAUAUACGUUUUCAGAUUAUCCUGACCUAAAAUUGUACCCUCGUCCUGCUCAAGCUGAAAGAUUCGCUUCUUUCUGUGCUUGCCAUUAGCGAUUAAAUGGAAGAACUGAGUAUUUGCGUCCCCCUGGACCACUCUACGAACCUUAGCACGUAGAGCCCACUUCAGUUCUUCUUCACGCAAAAGUUCUUUCAACCGCUUUUCCGCCUCAAGUUUAACAUGAAGUUCUGCGGGGGCCAACAAGUUAGACUCGGCUUUUACGUCCAAGUCAUGGACUAGAGAAAGGAGUCUAUCCUUUUCAAUCUUAUACGCACCACUAAGAUGCUUAGCCCAACCCCUCAAGAAACUUCUCAAAUUCCUAAUCUUAUUUUGCCAGCGCUCAAUGGGUGUUUUACCGCGGACCUCUUUAGCCCAUUCCCUGGCAAUCAAGUCGAAAAACCCCUCGCGCUCGAACCAUGACGUCUCAAACGAGAAGGUGUUCUUAUUCCCCACGUGGUUCGGCUCCCCUGAGUCCACGAACAAUGGGGUAUGAUCAGAUAUUCCCCUCGAAAGGGCUUGCACCGUGACCCUCGGGAAUUUUUGUUCCCACUCAACGCUUGCAAGGACCCGAUCAAGUUUUUCGUAAGUAGGGUUUGGCAGAGCGUUGGCCCAUGUAAACUUUCUACCCGAGAGUUCUAUCUCCCUCAGAUCCAAGCUUUCGAUAAUGGUGUUGAACAUGAAGGACCAUCUACCAUCAAAGUUAUCAUUGUUCUUCUCCUCCCGCCUCCGGAUGAUAUUGAAAUCGCCUCCAACUAAAAUCGGUAGUUGUUCUGACCCACAAAUCCGCACUAGGUCAGCUAGAAACUCCGCUUUGAACUCAGGCUGCGCGGCACCAUAUACCGCCACCAAAGCCCAAUCAAAGCCAUCAAUCUUAGACCUAACUCGAAAUUUUACGGCGAAGUCACCCAUGACAACACUACGGACUUCCAGAGAGUCGCAUCUCACACCUAGUAAGAUGCCCCCCGAUCUUCCUCGCGGAGGUAAGCAGUGCCAAUCGAAAUCAAUACCACCAACUAGUGAGGAGAGAAACUGAGGUGCAAAAUUGUCUCUACCCGUCUCCGAUAGAGCAACAAAAUCUAACUUCUGCUCAAUAGAAGUCUCAGCCAGGAAUCUUCUUUUAGCCAAGUCCUUAAGACCUCUGCUAUUCCAAAAAAUUCCUCUCAUAUCUCAUCAUGGAAUUUUUUGGUAGUUCGGAUCCUAGCACUCCUACGGACCGCGGAAUCGGGAUAAAUCUUCCGUUUCCACUUACGCUUAGGUUUAUUAAGCUCGAGUCCCCGUUCCUCAAACCCGGGUUCAAAAAUAUUGCUAGCGUCAUUCUGAAGGGGCACAUCCUCUUCGUCAACCUCCUGGUUAGAGGAUGCGAGAUCCUCACACAGGCUAUCAAGCACUCUAACUCCUAACGCAUUUAUCUCAUCAUCAUUCAUAGGUUUAAGUGCUGCAAGAUUACGAAUAGUCUCUAAAGCCCGCUCUGCUUCCAGGUCUAAAAUAUCAUUCACCGAUUUGGUAAUUUCACUAUCUGUGGCACCUAGUGAAACUCCUAAUUGGUUUGCAUUAUUUAUAAUGUCCUCAUUAGAAAAAUGCAAUAACGAAUUAGACAAGUCAACGGACAUACCCGAUGAACACGCAGCCUCCUGAAGCUUGGCCGCCCUCAUAGCGCACCGCUGCUGCAUAUCAUCAACCUCCGGGACGUCGAGGAUGCGAGCACUCAUCCGUCUGCCCCCGGAAGUAGGGUCAGUGAUCCCGCCAUACGCGAUCACCUCCUCUCUGGUGUAACCUGGCACCAAAGCUCCCAGUGGUGCGGAGGUCACAGGCGGAGGCAACUGCGGGCUCCCGAACCCAUCUGACGAGGGCCCCGCCGCAGGCAAUGGGGAGGAGUGAACGACCGGGGCCACCUGCCCGCCGUCUCCUCCCGCCCCAACCUGCGGCGCAGGCGAAGAAGCCGUCGGAAGGGUGGUCCGCCUGACCACCCGAGCGGAAGGAGGAGAUCGGGCCACCUGCCCUGCCGUCCCCCCUCCCGCGGCCACAGAGGCAGUGGUAGCCACCACCGUCACGGAGGACGUCGAGGCCUCCUGCCUCGAGGUCCCUCCAGCCGCCGGAACUGUCCCCCUAGGGGUCGAAGCCACCGGUGAGGCCUGCAACGUCCUCGGGACGGGGGUAGAAAGGACUCCUGGUCCCGACCCCCCUCCCCCACGACUCCUCGGUCCCGUGCUCGGUGACACCGAAGUCAGUCCCGCCGCAGUCAACAGUCCAACCGGGCUAUCACCGUGCCUGCAGCCUGCACCAACCUCCCUCUCAAACUCCAGUGAAGGAAGCAUGUGCUCAGUAACAUCGUCGGACUCCACCCUGUCACUCCAGAGCCUGGGAGGUGCCGAGGCUGGCUCAAAAGAACCGAACCGGACCGUAGCCAUAGGAACCGCCGGUGAAUCAGUGUGCUCAGCCUCCGGUCCCGUCCCGGCCGACUGAGGGAGUGAUCCGUUGGGUCCCUCACGCAUGGUCUCAUCUGAUGGGCCCCCCUUAGACCCAGCACCUCCAUCCCGGUCGUGCAUAUCAGCAUCAUUACCGUUAACUGCAUCGUCAAAUAAGUCUGUGUCCUCAAACUCAAUAUCUAGAGGGAAGACCUCACCCUUAUAUGUCCAGUUUACCUUGUCGGGCACAUACUCAAUAUCCAAAAUGCUAACAAGAAUCCGUGCAACCCCAUUGGCACGAGUGAAAGCCAUAUCCACUUUUUCAGUUUUUCCAACUAGGAUACCCAAACUGGCCACAACACGAGCAUCCUGCAGAGGCUUUGAAGGAGCCCCCAAAAACCUCAGCCAUACCUGUGUUAGUGGUUUUCCUUUAGGCUCAACCUGUUUCCACUCGUUAAACUCCAGAAUACACUUAGUACCAGGAACUUUACACAAGCCAAAACUUAACAAUUUCUGCAGGUCCUCAACUGACGGGAAAUCAACCUUAAACACUCUCUCCUCAAUAGGUACGAGCUCCCAAACAAAGUCACCCGGAGCUAACUCCUGCAACCUGCUCACAAUCUGUGCCUCAGUCACCGGUCCCUGUGUCGCUCUGACAAUCCCAGUAGUCGUAACCUGGUUCUCCUCCGGGACCUCUCUCGCCUCCGGAGACUCAAAAAACAUGAGCUCAGCACAGUAGACUCCAUAAAUGUUUAGAGUCGGAGGAACGUCACGCAAAAUCGGGCACUCACCCGACUCAUGGGCAAGUUUGCCACACGACUCACACAACUGGGCCACACACUCAGCAAUAAAGUGACCUUUGUCCCCACAUCGAUAGCAAAUCAUCCUCUCCUUCUUACGAGCGUACUUGGAUGCCCUCUCUGCAUCAGAUCUGUCAGUGGCCUCAUCCACCGUCCCAGCCUCAGAAACAUCAACAUUGGCCAACUCCUUCACCACCUCCAUCGCCUGUGGAGGUAGCUCUGAGGAAAGCUGAGUCUCAACCGUAUCAUCUGCAAGAAUAGUCCCCCGAGGUUGUUGGCGGCGAAAUCUCCCGCGACCCCAGCCUCGACCCCCUCAGUUACCACGAAAACCACCUCUCUGACGAUUGUCCGGGCCGGAGGCUCCCUCAACAAAACCACCAGCCGGCCCGAGAAAAGGUCUCUCGGCCGACCCGUCACUCUGCCAAGCGUAACCACGCCCUCCUCCCGUGGACGAGGAGCCGCGGUGAUGUCCCUCGCCGUAUGCAUCGUAUCCGUCGUCUCCCCACUGGUCUCGGGGAGGAGCGUUAGGCUGAGAGGAUCUGAUCUGCACCGGCCUGGCAACAUAAUGCGGAGGUGGUUUUCCCGUAGUGGCCGGCUCAGCUCGAAUCUGUCUCUGAUCAUCGCCGCGGCCAGCAUGACCAACACCAGCAGCACCCGGCGCGGGGGGCCUCGCCCCGCCUCGUCCCGCAACCUGCGAAACCAGGGGUGGCGCGGGUCUCCCGAUUCCCCGACCAGCCGAAGGUGCCGCGACCGGAGCCGAGAUCGGAGCCGGCGGCCUCGUGCCAUUCUUCCCCAGAGCCGGCAGCUGCGUUUGCCCCGGCAGGUACGCACCCCCUGCUGGAAGUCCACGUCCCGCGGCACCGGCGGCGCCGCCGCCUCCAGCCGGCGGCCUUUGCCCGAUCUGCACGGGACCCCCCCGCCCGGUGUUCGCAGCCGGUGGUGGAGGCGCCCCACCCCGACCUGCAGCUCCUUGCAUGGGCCUUUUCGCCGGCGGUGGAACCUCCCCUCGACCUGCCAUGGCCGCCUCGGUCCGGUUGCGUCACGUGCGUCGAACCCCGCAGGACGGGAAACCCCUCGUGCCCUGCUUGCGAACCCUACCCCGCAGCAGUCUAUCACAAGGCAGAUGACGAUCUACGUCCGUGCAUGCACCAUCGUCGGGCCGAAUAGGCUGGAUGGAUUCCUCCUGGGCCACAUACCCAUUGGAAGCAUCACCAUCUAAGCCUGCCGCUACACCCCCAUGAUGGGCCUCAUGCCCAUGCAUGGUCCGCGGCCCGGCCCACAGCAAAUCGGCACACUCAGCUCCGAUCAGCGAAUUCAAACGCUCUGAUCUGGCCGCCCUGAUCCCGUCCGCCGCCAUGGUCACCGGCGGCGGAGGCGCUGGAUCUGGCCGCCCUCCCUUCUUCUUCUUCUUCCGAGUAACCACGUUCCAAUCAUCUUGCGGAAAAAAAUCGGACAAAGUUAAAGGCUGAACACGUACCUUAGGCAAAGGUCCUUUCCAUGGACGGAUCGCCGUCGCCGCCGUUCUCCGGUGAAUAAUCCGGCGAACCACUUCUAGUCGAUCAGUAGGCCGCAGACCUAGCCGUUCCGGAUCCUUGGCAGGCACGAUUUCAUCCACCAACGCCGC